RNAcentral lists this transfer RNA (72 nucleotides) under Loxodonta africana (African savanna elephant). It matches the Rfam family "tRNA". Rfam says of the family: Transfer RNA (tRNA) molecules are approximately 80 nucleotides in length. Their secondary structure includes four short double-helical elements and three loops (D, anti-codon, and T loops). The record is from Rfam by way of RNAcentral. Lineage: Eukaryota; Metazoa; Chordata; Mammalia; Proboscidea; Elephantidae.
GCCUCGGUGAUGCAAAGGUUACAUGCUUGGCUGCUAACCAGAAGUUUGGUGGUUUGAACCCAUCCAGCAGCU